Molecule: ribosomal RNA, 229 nt
Filed under: uncultured bacterium
Lineage: Bacteria
Description: partial 16S ribosomal RNA
Rfam family: Bacterial small subunit ribosomal RNA
Source: RNAcentral
UCCGUAGGCGGAUUGACAAGUCAGAGGUGAAAUCCCACAGCUUAACUGUGGAACUGCCUUUGAAACUGUUAGUCUUGAGUUAUAUGGAAGUAGAUAGAAUGUGUAGUGUAGCGGUGAAAUGCAUAGAGAUUACACAGAAUACCGAUUGCGAAGGCAGUCUACUACGUAUAUACUGACGCUAAUGGACGAAAGCGUGGGGAGCGAACAGGAUUAGAUACCCUGGUAGUCC